RNAcentral lists this long non-coding RNA (648 nucleotides) under Equus caballus (horse). Its description in RNAcentral is "lncRNA (ENSECAG00000033951.3)". Lineage: Eukaryota; Metazoa; Chordata; Mammalia; Perissodactyla; Equidae. The record is from RNAcentral.
CCUGCCCCAUGCAAAGGGAACCAACCGCUCCUGGCUCACCCCUCUCUCUCCGAGGGGGCAGCCGAGGGACCUGGGCGCACCGGUCCUUCGUCCAGUCCCGCCCACCUAGCCGCGACUCCGAGCUGCCGCCUGCUGCCCCCUGCUGUCCCCUGGCUGAUGAGCCUGAGAGCAGCGCGAGCCGACCCGCGGAAAGCCAAGCCCGCCGUUGUGGGACCUGCGGGGACAGAUCCGGCGGGCGGGGCGUCCGCGGGCUGGGCUGGUCCACCUGCGUGCUCUGCGCAUCCUUCUGCAGCUCCUGCGGUUGGUGCGCCGUUUGUUCCCAGAGAUUCAGGUUUGGAAGACGCACCAGUUACAACCGCACAUGCGCGCUGCCUGGCGAGGAAAAGACAGCGGGACUUUGCAUGUCGAUCACAGGCUUUUUGGGUCAAACAACCCCAGUGCCUGUUCCCAGGGUCUGGCUGAAUGGGAUGUCCUCGGCGCCUUAACCAAGUGGAAGGCUAUUGAGGUGCCGAAUGAAAUGAUCUCCAGGCUGUAACAAAAACAAAUGCUGGGAGCAGAACAGUCUGUGUAGAUGUCAACAUUGGCGUGACAGGGGAGGAUACCCGCCCGUUUCUGUGUCUGCACGGAAGCUCUCCGGAAGGAGGACGG